AUUACCGUAGUUACCGCCGCUGCCGCACCCCGCGCCUGGGCCCGGCGCUGUUGGCGCGGCCGCCGCGUGGCGCGCGAGGCUGGCCCCCGAUUGGCUGGCGCCCCGCCGCCCUCCCGCCCGCGAUCAAAAUGGCCGCGCCCGGCCGUCGCCACAGCGGGAGUGGCCCAUAGCAACAGUACCGCUCGAGCGGACUACUGCUUCUCUUUCCUGAAGGAAAACGAACAAGGAAAAAAGGAAAAAAAAAAACCAAACCCAUCCUCCAAACACACAUACAGAAAAAAAAACAAAAACCCCAAACCAAAACAAACAACAAAAAAAAAAACACCACAAAACAAAACCAAAAAACCAAACCACAAAAAUCCCUCAUAAAACCAACCAAAAGCCAACAGUGCAGUGCUAGAAGAAAGCGGACACUGUUUCAGCCUUCUAUUAGUAAAAGCACGCGUGUGAGGAGCACCAGAGGUGGGGAAACGUUUUGAUACACAGCAGUAUCCACAGCCAGGCGGCCUGAGCUCGUAUUUCACAGCUAUGUUUCCCAUUAGGUUGCUAGAAUAGUCAGGCUGGAGAGGGCAGUUAUAAACAUCUCAGCCAUUAUUGAACAUGUUGAAUGGAAGACUGAGAAUGCAAUUUUGGCCUUAAAGGAAGAAGUCCAUGGUCUGUCUCAUGGUUAUGCAGAACAGAAUUGCUCUCAAUUUCAUACUGGCUGCACAAGGAGGACUACAGAAGAAGGCAUCAGUAUAUGCUAAAAGGAUACAAAAAAAAAGGAUAGCCAGAAGAAAAACAGAUCCCAAAUACUCACUGAGGAAACAAUGUCCUGAAUCAAGUCAUAUUUGCUUAGCAAUAAGGGAACUGGUGGUCUGCAUGAAUGAUGGGAAGGAUUUGAUAUGGCAGAGGGAAGGAGAGAGAACUUCUGUGGUUGAAAUAGCUGUAUUGGCACACAGCUUUGCAUAUGAAUUUCUCAUACAACUACUAUCCAUUAGGACUGGAAUCCUAAUGGUCUGGACAUUAAACAGAAUUAGAGAAAAAAGGAAAUAUACUUCUAAAUUGUUUAUGCUUGUGGUCUAUUCAUGUGCAUGGCAAAACAGAUUUAGUACUAAAGCAUAA
This 1104-nucleotide long non-coding RNA is filed under the name Cyanistes caeruleus (blue tit). RNAcentral's name for it is "lncRNA (ENSCCEG00000011247.1)". Lineage: Eukaryota; Metazoa; Chordata; Aves; Passeriformes; Paridae. The record is from RNAcentral.